CCUACGGGAGACAGCAGUGAGGAAUAUUGGUCAAUGGCCGAGAGGCUGAACCAGCCAAGUCGCGUGAGGGAAGAAUGUCCUAUGAUUGUAAACCUCUUUUAUCAGGGAGCAACGUCAACCACGUGUGGGAGUUGUAGAGUACCUGAAGAAAAAGCAUCGGCUACGUCCGUGCCAGCAGCCGCGGUAGUACGAAGGAUGCGAGCGUUAUCCGUAUUUAUGGGGGUAAAAGGGUGCGUGGGCGGAUUAUGAAGUCAGAGGUAAAAGCGUGGAGCUCAACUCCAUCCAGCCGUUGAAACUGAUGAUCUUGAGUGGGCGAGAGGUAUGCGGAAUGCGAGGUGUAGCAGUGAAAUGCAUAGAUAUCACGAAGAACUGCAGUUGCGAAGGCGGCAAACCGGCGCCCGACUGACGCUGAAGAACGAAAGCGUGGGUAGCGAACAGGAUUAGAUACCCCGGUAGUC
Molecule: ribosomal RNA, 458 nt
Filed under: uncultured bacterium
Lineage: Bacteria
Description: partial 16S ribosomal RNA
Rfam family: Bacterial small subunit ribosomal RNA
Source: RNAcentral